Molecule: long non-coding RNA, 2318 nt
Organism: Triticum aestivum (bread wheat)
Lineage: Eukaryota; Viridiplantae; Streptophyta; Magnoliopsida; Poales; Poaceae
Exons: 4
Source: RefSeq, a predicted model, not a curated record
UUAGUCCGCGAUCUCCCUCACACGAUCCCCUUAACAACGCAACGGGAUUUUUCCUUUUAUCUAUCCAUCUUUUUCUCCCAAAAAAACUGCCCCCUCCCCUCACCCGCACACCUCUUCCCACGACCCCGUCGCCCGUCGGUUCGCCACCGCCGCCCCACGCGAUGCCGGCCAUCUCUCCCCUAUUUCUAUCUUCUCCCAUCCCACACGACAAGAGCGCGGCGGAGGGCGACCGCCAUUUCUCUCUCCCUCGCCCCCCUCCGCCUCACCCGUCUCUGUCUCCUCUCCCGCACCCCCGACACGGCCUCAUGCUUCCAGGCGCUCGCCUGGAAGGAGGCAGCCGCCUCAACAGUCUUCGGUGCCGGUGUGGGCACGGGGAGCGGGCUGCUUUCGAUGCUUGACCCGACGCUCACCAACGAGGAGCAGUACUGCCGUGAGCGCACCCAGGUGCAGGCGCAAGGGCAUUGAGGCAGAGAGGUUCACCGUAGAGGGGAUCUCAGUGAGCAGGCACGAGACAUGCGUCACUGCGCCGGCCCCAUACUGCAGCAGUGUUUGGUUCAACAACGAUUUGUUCACUGCCUGACAUUUUUGUUUGAGCAGCUUCAGUAUUAUCUUUAUCUAAUUGCUUGUCAAGUUGCUAAUUGGAGUCUUCAGAUUCUUAGUUACAUUGUAGGUCAGUAAAUCUAAUGUGUGACAUCUUUGAGUUUUCAUCUGGAAGUUAAAUAAAUCUAGAUCGCUUGAGAAUGAUCAUGAUACUGAGAUACAUGCAAGCAUAUCUGAUGCAUAUCUGAUUUGUUCACUGUGUUGUUACUUACACCGGGCUUGUACCUUGCUUGAGUAAGUAUUUUCUUGUGCAUUUCAGUACGUAAUGUUAAUUAUGCUUUUUUUCCUUCCUCAGGAUCGACAAAUUAUCAAGCACACAUGGUACGAUCAUCAAGUAGUCGUGCGGUGUAUUGCAACAGCCGUGAGGUAAAUGAGAGGGGAGAUCCAGGCGCCGGAGAGGAGGAAGAAGGUGGUCAAGGCCACACAUCAGCUGAAAGUCCCCCCCCCCCCCCCCCCCCGCCAGACAGGCACAUGUUUGGUUGCUGUUGAUCCUGCAUUACGGUGCACACAAUCUGUUUGAGAUGUGUUUUUUUUGGGUAUAACAGUGUGCGAUGGUGGUGAGGUGGAAUCUGCACAAGCUAAGAAUCAGGCACUAAGGGAUGCUGGGGCUGUUGUUCCUACUUCAUUGGAAACUCUUGAAAGGAUUAAGGAGACAUUUCAGAAGUUGGUACAUCACGGCUGAUGUCUUUUGCAAGUUUUUUUUUGGGAAUGUGUUAGUGGGAAUCAAAGCUUGGGGUUACAUAUAUUUUUUGCAGGUUGAGGAAGGAACAAUUCCUCCUGUCCCUGAGGUUACACCUCCCCCCAUUCCUGAGGAUCUUAAAAUUGCCAUUAAAAGUGGGAAGGUCCGAGCUGCAACGCAUUGAUUAAACAUCGGGGCCUCUUUUCAUUAUAAUUAGAUGGUGUGAAUAAUUGUUCAACUCAGGAGAGGGACACACUCUGGGAAAAGGUUGCUUGGGCAGGCUUGCAUCUCCGUAUAUUUUUCCAUAUAAAUUGUAAAAGUGGGCAACUCGAUGCUUGUUCCUUUGCCAUUGACCGUGUCGGGAAGUUGAGCUCAGAAACUGCCGUGACAGCACUGGAUGCUUGAACCCACCGGUAGCAUCAUGGAGCUACCAAUGUUAGGAAGGGUACCACAAGAGAUGAUUCUGAGAAGGGGUAAGGGGAAGGUCCUGAAAAGGAACAAGCUGGAGAAGAUAGAUCUUAUCACCAAAUAUACGUGGAGGAAGAUGAAGAAGCAAGACCCUAAGAUGGACGACUCUUAGAACAUAACUGACAAAUAAGCAGAGAAUUGUAGGUGCUAUGGAAUCGAUGGGUGGUCAGAAUUCUUAUCAGUAAUAGUUCAUGCUUGAUGUAUGUAGCUCUCCCCUGGCCUACUACAUUCAGGACACCUGCCCUGCAGUCGGUAUCGAGAAAUUAUGUCCAUUGCUUUUUCUACUACAUUGAGGGCUACAUGUGUUUCGAAGAGAGGUUUACAGUUGAGAUUUCUUUUGCUUUGUAGCUUCACAUGUUCAUACUUCCACCAGAUAGUCUGAACAAAUAUCACUGCAAGAGCCCCAUGCUGUAAAUUGAGUUAACUUUUAGCUUUGCGGGUAGUCAACCAAAUUUUGGUGCUUGGUUGAUAGCCCCUACCCAUUUAUCAAUGACAAUUGCCAUCACCUUUGUAAGCAAUAUUUCUGGUUCUGAUAAAGAACCAAGUUAUACUUAUUUGUUUUCUGUAUAAA